CCUACGGGUGACAGCAGUGAGGAAUAUUGGUCAAUGGACGGAAGUCUGAACCAGCCAUGCCGCGUGCAGGAAGACGGCUCUAUGAGUUGUAAACUGCUUUUGUACAAGGGUAAACCUGAAUACGUGUAUUCAGCUGAAAGUACUGUACGAAUACGGAUAGGCGAACCCCGUGCCAGCAGCCGCGGGAAUACGGAGGAUCCAAGCGUUAUCCGGAUUUAUUGGGUUUAACGGGUGCGUAGGCGGGUUGAUAAGUUAGAGGUGAAAUGUCCGGGCUUAACUCGGGAACGGCCUCUAAUACUGUUGAUCUAGAGAGUAGAUGCGGUAGGCGGAAUGUAUGGUGUAGCGGUGAAAUGCGUAGAGAU
Molecule: ribosomal RNA, 362 nt
Filed under: uncultured bacterium
Lineage: Bacteria
Description: partial 16S ribosomal RNA
Rfam family: Bacterial small subunit ribosomal RNA
Source: RNAcentral